AUAUUUUGGAACUGAGCCUAGUUCCUUCAAUAUCAAUGCAAUCUAUGAUUAUUAGAUUACACUAGCUGAUAUCAAAGGAACUAGGCUCAGUUCCGAAAUAU
This is a non-coding RNA of Paramuricea clavata, 101 nucleotides long. Lineage: Eukaryota; Metazoa; Cnidaria; Anthozoa; Malacalcyonacea; Plexauridae. The record is from the annotation of a GenBank genome assembly.